GGGUCAGUAGGUUGGUCGUGCCACCGGUACGUACUGGUCUCACUGAUUCCUCCUUCCUGAAGAACCGUAAUGCCAUUAAUUCGGUGUUGCGGGGAAACAGGACUGUUACUUUGAAAAAAUUAGAGUGUUUAAAGCAAGCUAACGCUUGAAUACAUUAGCAUGGAAUAAUGAAAUAGGUCGAUCGAUCCUAUUUUGUUGGUUUCUAGGAUUGACGUA
Molecule: ribosomal RNA, 216 nt
Filed under: Glomeromycotina sp.
Lineage: Eukaryota; Fungi; Glomeromycota
Description: partial small subunit ribosomal RNA
Rfam family: Eukaryotic small subunit ribosomal RNA (bases 87-216)
Source: RNAcentral